Long non-coding RNA from Mytilus californianus (California mussel), 1278 nucleotides. RefSeq lists it as uncharacterized. The record is from RefSeq and is a predicted model, not a curated record. The transcript has 2 exons. Lineage: Eukaryota; Metazoa; Mollusca; Bivalvia; Mytilida; Mytilidae.
CCGUACUAACUAAACGCUAUGAUAAGAUGACGAAAACACUCAAGUAUAACCAAUUGCUUUAAAUUAAGUUUAAAUUUUAAAGUUUCAUUCGUCAGUUGUUAGUGAUCAAGCAUCUUGCAGACUGGACUGCCAUUAUCAAGAUUAUAAAGAUGGACAUCAGUCUUUUGCUCAUCUUAACUUGUUUCACUGCAGUAAUUGGAGAUGACAUUGGAUUUUUAAGUUGUGGGAAUUAUACAAUGCAACCAGUAAAAUAUGAAGAUUGGUAUGUACGGGUUGGUAGUGACGAAAAAGGAACCGUUAAAGGUUAUGAUUUCUGGUUUCUUAUUUUUAAAGAUGCUAGAUUAAACUUUGAGAGAAUAGAGGACGAUGAACCAUAUUUCUUCAUAACUACGGAACGAUGGAACGAUUGGUUUAUUUAUAUGACCGACACUUCGAAUGGUCAAGUAGAGUCGAUGAAUCAAAAACCUGGUCCUGAAGGUCAAUGGAUGGUCCAACGAGUACAAAAUGGCAAAUACACUCUGUCACCAAGGAAAUGGCCCCAAAAAUACAUGUGUAUGAGUGAUGAUACAUUUGAUUACACCGUGUUUGCCUGUGAUGAAGUUGGAACUGAUGGAAUUUUUGUCAUUAAAAAGGGAUAGUUUUUAAUAUCAGCAGCAAUUAUUAUUUUCAUAACAUCGAGAACAUUGCAUAAGCCAGAAAACGUUUUGUCAUGCAAUAGCUGAUGAAAUAUUUGUACAUAUUUUGCGGUCAUUGUUCGUCUUUUGAUUUUAAUCGUUCUGAAUUCGACGUUUGGUAUUUGUGCUUAUCAAACUUUCUAUAUAUUUUGGCUUUGGAACACCUAUUAGGGUUUGAACAGAAAGUAUUUUUCCAGAAAUCUCUAAUCGAAAGCCGAACAUAAAAAGACAAAACAUUGAGAUCAAGAUUAACAAAAUUGGGAAAACUGAGAUUAUCAAAGGGAACAUGCAGUUAUUGCCGUUAUUUGACAUUUAUCAGUAGUUGAACAGUCGUUAACCAAAUGUUCACAUACGGAUAUGAUAGAAAUCAAGCCAUAACACAGCACCGUUUUGUCAUUCUGAACAACGCUUUAGAUGUGCCAGAUUGUCUUUAAUUGUAUAUUUUCUGUUCCUUUAUUACUGCUUUGUUAUAUAAAUAUUGUCUUGCUUAUAUGAUCUGGUGUGUAUGCGUUCAAUCAUUUUACAUUAUUAGCUUUCCAAAUUUUUGGUUAUUAGAGUGCAAGAUAAAAAAAAAGCGCUUAUGUGCGCUGACGUCAUAUCACAA